This 264-nucleotide ribosomal RNA is filed under the name uncultured bacterium. Its description in RNAcentral is "partial 16S ribosomal RNA". It matches the Rfam family "Bacterial small subunit ribosomal RNA", at positions 335 to 617 of the family's 1533-position model. The record is from RNAcentral.
GGCCUACGGGAGGCAGCAGUAGGGGAUCUCCCACAAUGGGCGAAAGCCUGAUGGAGCAACGCCGCGUGGGUGAAGAAGCGCCUCGGCGCGUAAAGCCCUGUCAGCAGGGAAGAAAAUGACGGUACCUGAAGAAGAAGCCCCGGCUAACUACGUGCCAGCAGCCGCGGUAAUACGUAGGGGGCAAGCGUUAUCCGGAUUUACUGGGUGUAAAGGGAGCGUAGACGGUAGAACAAGUCUGAAGUGAAAGCCCGCGGUUCAACUCCG